Non-coding RNA from Camellia sinensis, 438 nucleotides. The record is from RefSeq and is a predicted model, not a curated record. NCBI's taxonomy places the organism in Eukaryota, Viridiplantae, Streptophyta, Magnoliopsida, Ericales, Theaceae.
CUGGUAUGAAGCCACCGACUUACCAUGAAGUGCGGGUUACCCAACUCAAAAAAGAAGUGAAACAUACUGAAAAUUUGAUGAAGUAUCAUAAAGAGGAUUGUGCAAAAUACGGGUGUUCCAUAAUGGCUGAUGGUUGGACUGAUAAGAGAGGAAGGACAUUGAUUAACUUUUUAGUUAAUUGUCCAAGAGGAACCAUAUUUGUUGAGUCGGUUGAUGCUUCUAGCUAUUCAAAGGAUGGGUAAAAACUAUUUGAAUUACUAGACAAGUUUGUGGAGAAAGUUGGAAAAGAGAAUGUGGUGCAAGUUAUCACUGAUAGUGCUGCAGCUAAUGUGUUGGCGGGGAGGUUUUUGGAAGCUAAGUAUGAACACUUGUAUUGGACACCAUGUGCUGCUCAUUGUUUAGACUUGAUGUUAGAAGACAUUUUCAAGAUACCUAGAC